CUGAACCACAUUGUUGAGGGAACACACAAACAGAGAAAGGUCUUCCCGAGCGGAUGCUGCGGUGCAGACGCCUAGGUCUUCCUCAGAAUAGAAGCACAGCCAGAGACUCAAAGAGGUCAUCUCCAGGGGGUCUCCUUGCCGCAGUCAGAGCUGGAGCUGGAGCAGAAGUGCAGCCGAGGCCACUGAGGAGGCAUUCACAACUCAGACCUGCAGCCUCCUCCGACCACAGAGCCAAUGCUGUGGAACGGCCACUCGGCGCUAGGGAUCUCCAGGGAAACCCUGCCAGCGCCCUGAGCUUAUGGCCUGGCCUUAAACCUGCACCACUGGCUUGAGAAGUGCCACAUCCUCUCCCUAUCUUUAAAGAUAGCACAGCACCUGCCUUCGUGAAUCCAUUUCAGUGAAAGUGUGGCUUAAAAACCAGAGCUGUACAGCAACAUACACACACGCCCCAAACACAUCCUCACUUCCACCUUCCGUCUUUUCUCUUUGCUCUUUCUGCAUUCACCCCUCUGGCCCAGUCUCUGUGUCUCUGUUCCACCUAUUUCUGUCUCUGUCAAUCUGUGUCUCUUUCCAUCUGCCUCUGUCCCUUGCUGCGUCUCUGCUUCUCUCUGCCACAUUUUGUGUUUCUUUUCUGUCUCUGUCCACGUGUAAGUGUUAUUCUGCAUCUCACGCCCUCUCUGAGUUUUUGUUCAUGUCUGCCUGCUUUGCUCACCCCCAAGGGCCCUGAGGUCCCUGCCACCCCUCAUUCCUCCGUUCCUCUGUAGCAGCCGCCUCUCUGGGUGCCACUAGCUCACACUUAGCUCUCAAGGCAAUCGUAGAAAGAAGAAAGGGAGGAGGAUGCUAGCGGGGAGCUUGAAGCAAGUGGUGGGGCAGCAGUGAGAAGUAGAAGUAGCGCUGAAUAAAUACGCAGCUGUCUCUUUUAUCUCUUCUUGGCAGGAGGCAGAAGCUGGGGCAGGGGCGGCUCAGAAGAAUGGGCAUGGAGGCAGACGGAUGAUGGGGCCCAGAGUGAGACCGGGAGACUCAGGGCAGCAGACAGGGCUGACAUGAAAGGGGACGCAAGUUUCCAUGACCUCUGGCUCCUGGCAGGAGACUUUCCACCCUGAUUAUUGGGGACAGGGAUUGUUUAGGAGUCCAAGACAAAAGGAUAAAAUAAGGAGACUAUGGGAAGGGCAGUAAGUGUGUGUGUGUGUGUGCACACACACACACACCCCUAUGUUGCGUAUGAUAGUCACUAGUGCUAUUUGCUAAAUAUUUCUGGGUCUCGGCUUCCAAAUUGCACUCCCUGGCCCCCUUGUGGUUGGAUGCGGCCAUAUGACCAGUUCUGGCCAAUGGGCAGAAGAGAAAGUGUCACUUCCCAGCAGAAGAAUGCAAUUGCCAAUGCAACACCUUCCAGAGGUCUUUCUUUCCCUCUGGCACUAUGACCAGCAAGCUUUGAGCUGGUGGCUUCUCCAUCAGCCUUGGCCUCGGGGUGAUAUGAUGUGCAGAAGCUGUGACUGGCAUGUCAUGUGAGCAAGAAGUGAGCCCUGUGGUUUUAAGCGGGAGACAUUUUGGAGUCGUUUGUUAAUGAAGCAUAGCCUUGCCUAUCCUGACUGAUACAGUAUACAGGCCUGUGAUUGUAGAGGUGUCCGUAUGGAGUGUAAAGUGUCCAGGGAUUGUGUGUUUAAGCAUGUGUAUAUGCCAAUAUUUAUUCAACACAUAAAUAAGCACAUGUGUUUAGAAGUGAGUGUGUGUAAAUACAAGUCUUGGUAUUUUUGCUACACACCCAGCAAAUGGCGAAGAAGGAAAGUUUCCCUCUGCUGCUGUCUCACCUCCUCUUUGAGGUAGAAACACAAAGGGCCAGAUCUUGGGUCCCCCUUGCCUCCUAACCACAUAUGCCUAACUUUAACCUCCAAGUCUUCUCUUCCCAGCAGCCGCUACCCACUUCCCUGAGUGUUCCUGGGGUGGCUACUGCUUUUGGCUGCCUGGCACAAUUUCCCUCUCUCCGAGCCCCAGGCAGAGUGACUGGUUCUGGGAUGGGCAUGUGGCCUGGGCCAGACCACUCAGACACCUUCCCCAGGAUUUUGCUGCUGCAGCAAGCAGGGAAGUGGAGCGCCCCUUCCCUUUGGGGUGAUAGACACAGGAAGGGGUGAGAUGUACAGCUGUCCCUGCCAUGGAGGGACGAGUGGCCAGGCCGGAAGAUGCCGAGCUGAGAGAAAGGAACAAGAUACUUUGGAUCCAGUGCCGCCUGGUCUCAAUAAUGACAUGGACCGGUGUGUUUAUUUGCUUGCUCUCCAAGGCUGUGGUGGACUCUGGAGCCCAGCAGCCUGGACUGCAAUCUUGCUAAGUGAUGUGAGCACCUUAUUUAAUCCCUGUGCCUCUGUCUCCUCUGUGACGGUAAUAGUGUAAAUUUCACAGCAUACUUCUGAGAAUUAAAUGAGUGGAUUCACAUUAGUGCUCAGAACAGUGCCUAGUGCACGGUGAGCAGCUGACAUCAGCUAUUAUGAUUUCCUAAACCAAUGUGAAUUGGGUUUUUGUUACUGGCAACUGAAAUGGUUCUG
Molecule: non-coding RNA, 2537 nt
Organism: Chlorocebus sabaeus (green monkey)
Lineage: Eukaryota; Metazoa; Chordata; Mammalia; Primates; Cercopithecidae
Source: RefSeq, a predicted model, not a curated record